Non-coding RNA from Aegilops tauschii subsp. strangulata, 686 nucleotides. NCBI's taxonomy places the organism in Eukaryota, Viridiplantae, Streptophyta, Magnoliopsida, Poales, Poaceae. The record is from RefSeq and is a predicted model, not a curated record.
UGUUUGUUGGGAACAUUUGCAUUUUCAGGUAGACUGCGGUCAAUCCAAUACAAAACCUUGUAACGACUUGAAUUUAUAGGCCCACGGCCCAGCAGUUCGGCCACUACGGCAGAAAAGUGAACCUUAUCCCGUCCCCUACCUCCGCCGGCCGCCCCACCACACCUCCCGGCGGCGAUCUUGACCGUCUCCCUACUCCCGAUGCCUCCCUCCCACCCGCGCGCUCCUGUGCCUGAGCAUUGUGCUUUCCCGCAGCCGCAGCCGCCGCCGCUGCCGUCUCCGGUAGCCCACUGCCGCCCUCCUCCGCCGCCGCCGCACCGGGCAAGAUCCGGCAACGAGACGGGGACUAGUUCAGUGAGGAUUGCUUGCUAGUCGAAUUCACCAAUACUACUACAAAUGCACGCGCCACGAUUACUACUACUCCCUCCGUUACUAAAUAUAAAUCUUUUUAGAGAUUUCAGUGCGGACUAGAUACGGAUGUUUAUAGACGGAUUUUAGAGUGAGAUUCGUCUAUUUUGCUCCUUAUGUAGUCCAUAUCGAAAUCUCUAAAAGGAGAUAUAUUUAGGAACGGAGGGAGCACACGGUAAGUGGCAACUACUUUUUCCAUUACUUGUACUCUGCCAAUCUGCAGUCUGUUGUGGAAUCUGAUGUCAUACCCUUCCCUGGUAAUACAAAUAUGUCCACAGUAG